RNAcentral lists this ribosomal RNA (491 nucleotides) under uncultured bacterium. Its description in RNAcentral is "bacterial SSU rRNA". It matches the Rfam family "Bacterial small subunit ribosomal RNA", at positions 28 to 507 of the family's 1533-position model. The record is from RNAcentral.
GAUGAACGCUAGCUACAGGCUUAACACAUGCAAGUCGAGGGGCAGCAUGAACUUAGCUUGCUAAGUUUGAUGGCGACCGGCGCACGGGUGAGUAACACGUAUCCAACCUGCCGAUGACUCGGGGAUAGCCUUUCGAAAGAAAGAUUAAUACCCGAUGGCAUAGUUCUUCCGCAUGGUAGAACUAUUAAAGAAUUUCGGUCAUCGAUGGGGAUGCGUUCCAUUAGGUUGUUGGCGGGGUAACGGCCCACCAAGCCUUCGAUGGAUAGGGGUUCUGAGAGGAAGGUCCCCCACAUUGGAACUGAGACACGGUCCAAACUCCUACGGGAGGCAGCAGUGAGGAAUAUUGGUCAAUGGACGAGAGUCUGAACCAGCCAAGUAGCGUGCAGGAUGACGGCCCUAAUGGGUUGUAAACUGCUUUUAUAAGGGAAUAAAGUGGGAGUCGUGACUCUUUUUGCAUGUACCUUAUGAAUAAGGACCGGCUAAAUUCCGUG